GGAUGAACGCUAGCUACAGGCUUAACACAUGCAAGUCGAGGGGCAUCAUGGAGUUGCUUGCAAACUCUGAUGGCGACCGGCGCACGGGUGAGUAACGCGUAUCCAACCUUCCCUAUAGUAGAGGAUAGCCCGGCGAAAGUCGGAUUAAUACUCUAUGUUUUCCGUUGCAGACAUCUAAGAUGGAACAAAGGCUUGCCGCUAUAGGAUGGGGAUGCGUCUGAUUAGGUAGUCGGCGGGGUAACGGCCCACCGAGCCAUCGAUCAGUAGGGGUUCUGAGAGGAAGGUCCCCCCACAUUGGAACUGAGACACGGUCCAAACUCCUACGGGAGGCAGCAGUGAGGAAUAUUGGUCAAUGGGCGAGAGCCUGAACCAGCCAAGUAGCGUGCAGGACGACGGCCCUAUGGGUUGUAAACUGCUUUUAUGCGGGGAUAAAGUUCACUACGUGUAGUGUUUUGUAGGUACCGCAUGAAUAAGGACCGGCUAAUUCCGUGCCAGCAGCCGC
This 502-nucleotide ribosomal RNA is filed under the name uncultured bacterium. Its description in RNAcentral is "bacterial SSU rRNA". It matches the Rfam family "Bacterial small subunit ribosomal RNA", at positions 27 to 518 of the family's 1533-position model. The record is from RNAcentral.